ACAGCGUGAGGAAUCAUCGAGAACCUGAUAAAGCAAUUUGUAUUCUAUUUUCUCAUCCAUGGAGGAGCUCCUCUCGAAGAGAGUCUUAUCAUUUCCUUAUCUUUUUACUCAAUACAUAUGAAUUUCACAACUGAUUGUUCAUUUCCUUUCAAUUCCUAGUUUGAUCUAUUACAAGUGGUAUUCAGAGCCUCCAGAGGCCGAUGAGGACCGAGUCAAGUUGAUUGAUACUCUUCAGGUACUAUCUGUCUUUUUCACUUGCUUUUUUCUUUUAAAUAAUUCUACUUGUUUGGCUGCAGGGAAAAUGUGAGGAUCCUAUAUGCAUGAGAUUUUAAAUUGUGAGUGAGAGAAGUAUUAAAUGAUUUUGCAAUCCGCCAUAAAGGAGAAAGAAAUCCGAGUUCUUGAUUUGAAAUUUCCAUUUUGUAGGUGCUGAUAACGAAAUAAGAACUUGAAUCAAUGAACCUUAGCGCUGUUGUUGGCCUUUAGUUGAAUGGAGUACUAGUGUCUUGUAAACAGAUCCUUUUAGAAAUUUUUUUUUUGCAUUUAACCUAGUGCUUUCUUAUGAAGAAAGAUAGAGAGAAAAUUUGAGAAUUAUUUAUUCCCUGCUUACUCCUAUUUUCCACGCGACUUAAGUGGAUAAUAUCAUAAUAAGCAUUGUAGUUCAACUAGACCUAGAAAUUCGUGAAUGCCGUAUGGCCCGUAAUUGGUAUUUACCGAAAUGGACCUCUAGAAAUGCAUUUCAGAGUGAAUUCAAAAUCCCUAUUCAUGAGGUGGCAAUUGAAUCCAAAGCUUUUAUGCAUUGCCAAUGGAAUGCGGUCUUCUUUCUUUUGAGAUGGUACAUGCCAUAGAAGCUCAAGAGUCUGAAAUUAUCCAUUGGUUUUCAAUGGCAUUUAUACAGAGAUACGUGCAUACACAAAAAGUUGUCAACAAUUAUUAUUCUUUAAUGAUGAGUUUUAUACCUGGAAUAGAAGUUUAUAUUAAUUUUAGGCAGGUACUACGUUGAUCUUUUUAUGGUACUGUAGGAUUGGAAGACUGAAAGGUACAAAGAAAUAAUCAAAUCUGGAACUGUGGAACCUAGACCUGGGGUUUUGAGAUUGAUGGAUGAGGCCAAGGCUGCUGUCUAGUAACCUGGAGCGCUUUCAAAGUCUUGAUUGCUUUCUCGCUGGUAUGUCCUGAAAUGGAGUCCUUGUCUUUUGGGCAUAUCAUAUCUGAGAGACUUCUUGACUAUUUGUAUACUUUAUUCUUAUAUCCAUCUGCCAUAUGUGCACAAGAACAUUGAUGUAAAGAAUUUGGAAUCCAUACAUAAUUUUGUUCUCUUUGUUUGAUUUUGUGCCCAUUUUGAUUUGGACACAAUUCUAGUCCACUAAGAUUUGGUAAUAUUGAAGUUUUGUUCUGUUAGCAUGCGUUCUGAUUAAUUUUUCAAUUUGUUUCCAAAGUAUAUAAUACUCAUAUGUGCAUGUUGAUGCAUAAACUAAAUUUUGUAACUCUGACAUUCAUGUGUUAUUGUUCUUUCUUUUCGGGUUGCAGGUGAUGAUUUAUCUGACAGCUUCCAAGAUAAUUUUUCAAUUGUGCUUUCUAUUGCUUGGAAAUUGGAUAUCAGCUCUGUAGAAUGAUCUACCUUCCAGAGGCUAGGCGUGUCCCCACAAGAUUGUUUGGUAGUGGAGGAUAGCAUUAUUGGACUACAGGCAGCAACAGGAGCUGAGAUGUCAUGUGUGAUUACCUACACCUCGUCAACAGCUAACCAGUCAUACCUUUCCAUCUGUAGCUCUUAAACAAAGAAAAUUAUGGAUACAAUAUCUGAGAUAUGCUGGCAAUUCAUAACCAGAUAGUUACUUCAUGAGAUCCUUGACUUAAUUUUUUAUCCAUUUAUUUAAUGUAGGAUUUUAAUGUUAGGUAUGGUUAUAGCCAUUUCAUUUACA
RNA transcript from Carya illinoinensis, 1916 nucleotides. It is a transcript of the gene named haloacid dehalogenase-like hydrolase domain-containing protein At4g39970, with no coding region annotated. The transcript is spliced from 5 exons. Lineage: Eukaryota; Viridiplantae; Streptophyta; Magnoliopsida; Fagales; Juglandaceae. The record is from RefSeq and is a predicted model, not a curated record.